AGUCUUUUUAAACAAGCCCUUAAGGGGAUUUGCAGCACAGGCAAGUUUGGGAGCCAGUGCUUUGACGAAAGUGUUUUGCACAAGAAAUGUGUCACAAAGCAAACUGUAGAAGAACAGUUAGUUAUUAGAUGCUGUCUGUUCAAAGGCCUGCUUGGUUCUCAAUCAACUUGAGAAGAUAGACUGUACUGUUUGGGUGCAGCCUUCAGGUUCUUGGCUCUCUGCAUUCCAAAGCAGUUCCAGAAAGGAAUCGAAGUAGCUGUUGACAGAUUCAAAGCUGCCCCGGAUGUGCCGAAGGCCCCAGUCUGAAUAGGACUCCUCUGCGUCAGGGCUGGUGUCACUCUGAGCCAGGCCACCAGCCAGGCUGAGCCACAAAAUCAAGAAGCUGAUGGCCCGCGUCAUCCUGUAGCCAGUGCUGCAUCAACUUAUCUUCCCACCAACAGUGCAAGAGGAUUCUUUUUCUCCGCAUCCUC
This is a long non-coding RNA of Bubalus bubalis (water buffalo), 470 nucleotides long. RefSeq lists it as uncharacterized. The transcript has 3 exons. The record is from RefSeq and is a predicted model, not a curated record. Lineage: Eukaryota; Metazoa; Chordata; Mammalia; Artiodactyla; Bovidae.